CACCAGCCCAGGAAGAGGUUGGCGUAUGAGGUUUCCGGUUUGGUAUUAACUGCAUGGACGUCACUUCCGGCGUGCGGUCCAUGCUGACACGCACGCCGCGAUACUAGCAACACAUGGCCGGAUCUGACUACACCUGUGGGUGUCGCUAGUCGCGAUUGGGCGCAUGGGGUAUUUAAAGGGAGGGGGGAAACUCAGGAUGACUACAUCAGACCUAUUUCCCUUCACUGCUAACGACACCAUGUGUCUCUUUGUUGGCUAGCCCUGCAUCUUGGGGGACAUAAAUCGGGGCACCUCUAUCCUUGUUUGGUGCUUUUCAGUCAGGAAGACCCAUGUACCUAUCCAUGAACCUCCCGACCAACGAUCUGUACGUGAUCCGUUGUUAUUGCCAACAUCAGUGUGUAUCUAGGCAGUUGAGUUCAUCGAUCAUGCUGUAAAGUAACCGUAUGUAAAUUGCCUCCGGGCGAUCAUUUAUCUACUCUGGGUCUGAUGUCAUGUCGUAAAGGAUUAUUUAUUCCUAUAUCUAUUUACGCACGUAUCAUUGGACUGGGACGGCCAUAAUCCUUGGCAAAGGUCCCAGGACCUAUUAUACCUACCACAUAUAACCCCCUGAUGAACCCAUUGGUAUGGGUGAAACGCGUCGGGGCUGUAGGCUAUCCAUUUCAAUAUAUCUGUCUUUAAUUGUGCGUGUGUUUGUUUGUAUUAUUAAUUUUAUCCUCUUGGUGUGCCCUGUACCUCUUGGUUACGCCACGAGGGCGGUAUACAGUGGACACCUCUUUAACUAAUUCUUUCAUUGUUAUGUGCUAGUUAUCCGUUAGGAUACCACGUAUUACCCUUCCUUUUCCACCUGCCACCUCAGCAGGGACAUUUAGGAAUUUG
Bufo gargarizans (Asiatic toad) is the source of this 876-nucleotide long non-coding RNA. RefSeq lists it as uncharacterized. The record is from RefSeq and is a predicted model, not a curated record. NCBI's taxonomy places the organism in Eukaryota, Metazoa, Chordata, Amphibia, Anura, Bufonidae. The transcript has 3 exons.